CAGUAGCCGCGGUAAUACGUAUGUCACAAGCGUUAUCCGGAUUUAUUGGGCGUAAAGCGCGUCUAGGCGGUUAAUUAAGUCUGAUGUGAAAAUGCGGAGCUCAACUCCGUAUUGCGCUGGAAACUGGUUAACUAGAGUACUGGAGAGGUAAGCGGAACUACAAGUGUAGAGGUGAAAUUCGUAGAUAUUUGUAGGAAUGCCGAUGGGGAAGCCAGCUUACUGGACAGAUACUGACGCUAAAGCGCGAAAGCGUGGGUAGCAAACAGGAUUAGAUACCGUGUAGUCCCUGUCUCUUAUACAC
RNAcentral lists this ribosomal RNA (301 nucleotides) under uncultured bacterium. RNAcentral describes it as "partial 16S ribosomal RNA". It matches the Rfam family "Bacterial small subunit ribosomal RNA", at positions 509 to 809 of the family's 1533-position model. The record is from RNAcentral.